Long non-coding RNA from Peromyscus californicus insignis, 5918 nucleotides. RefSeq lists it as uncharacterized. NCBI's taxonomy places the organism in Eukaryota, Metazoa, Chordata, Mammalia, Rodentia, Cricetidae. The record is from RefSeq and is a predicted model, not a curated record. The transcript is spliced from 3 exons.
CUCAUUUCUCUGUGCUGAAAGGUGUCAUAUAAAUGCUAAAUAGAACAGAGAGAGAGAUGGGGCCUAGCUAUUUGCAUUUCGGCUAAUGUGAGCAGAUGUAGCUAGCACAGCCGCUUAGCCGAGGAUGCUCACCUGCCCUGCUGGGCCUAAUGUCCAUCUUCAGUUCAUUUCAACGAGGCCCUCAUCAGUUCUGCUCCAGCGCUGCAGCAGACAUGGUGCUUGGUACAAAAGGGGUACGUGCCUUCUGUCCUCAGUGGGUUGACAAAACUUGUUGACGAGACAAGUUUAACCACAGGAACCAUCUGAGAACAAUACAACCCAGCUUGUGAUUAAGUGGAAGAAAAUCUACAGAGUCCACAGUUCCGGCAUGGAGAUGAGUGUCUUUCAAUAUGAAGAGUUCGAAUUAAAACCAAACCACAACGAAGCAGGAGAAACUAGCAUCAAUGUGAGCAUGCCAGUCAAGGCUGCAACUUAAGAAAUAGGAAAAAGAAAAAAGAAACAAAAGUUGAUGAAUAAUUGAGCUGGGACUGUGCAUAAACUUAACCCAUUACUAUGCAGAAUAUAAUGCAGACAUUUUAGUCUUGGAUCUUGUCCAAGGUGAUUCAUUAUUGGACAAAGUGGGAGAACCUUGUUCAGACACAGCUUCACCUAAAAUGUGAUCUCUGGUCAUGGACACAGGAUUACAGGAAGGCUCCAAUGUUACUUGAAGUGAGAGGUGGGGGCUCUUGUUUCAUCCUCUGUUCAACUUCUUGCCUUGAAUGAAUGAGUAGUCUGAAUGGUUCUCUUUUUGAAAAAUAACUGUUUUGUUUGGCUGAGACCCACAGGGGCACUCACUCUUUCCUCUUACCACAGGAAAGAGACACAUUUGAAAAAGCAAGCAUCCUUGAGUAUGCAGUUGAUUUUCUUGUUAAUUGAAUUCAAUUGGAUCAAUAUCUAGUUUUAGUUGUGGGAAGUAAGGCUAGCAGUCAGAAAUAUUCUCAAAUUUCCUUGAAUAAUAAAAAGAUCUCUCUUAAUUCACUCACAGUUUAACUCAGGGAAAGCUAGGGGAAGAAGAGUACGGGCAGUGUUGGGGCAGGACAUUCUUCCUGUGGACUACUUGCAGUUAGUGGAUUGAUAAACUUAGGUUGUGAAUCUCCAUUGUGAGGACCAGAGUGUCAGCAUGUUUUAGAAAUUCCUUCCCCACCAAGGAAAGUCCCACUGUAGACAAAAAGAAAUCCAAUAUUGAAAGCAAUCUUUUGAUUGUACCGUGACAUAUUCUUGAAGCUGCCAUGCAGGAAUCUUCCAUAGAAGUUUUAAAAUUCUACAGAUAGGAAACGUACAAGAUUUACAGGAUAGGAAAAAUGAAAUUGGUUGUUUGAAUGGAGGAGCAUUAACUUGAGCUGGUCUAUGAGUUGCUUUGUAAAUUGCCUAAAAUUAUGCCUUUGCACAUUUGAUGGUUGCACUGAGUGGUGGUCAAAAGCUGGCUUCCCUGAGAUAACCAGGUCCUGGACCAUUCCCUUCCUCUUCACUCCCCUGUCUUCUGAGCUGAGACAGAGUCUCACAGACAGACAGACAGCGGAGAGAAAAACUGCUACAUCUAACAAAAGCUUGCUGAGAGUCAUUUGGUAUCUGUUCUUCUUUACUUCAAGGUGUUGUGUGCAAGACCUUGGACUAACUUUACGCUGCUUAUAUACAGAACGUGUCCUUAUGCUAAAGGUGACCUUUGCUGACGGUUAGACUCUAAACUGUAAACAAUGUGCAAACUGUGGGACCAUGUGGAAGGUUGGCUCUGGAUUGUCUCUCAAAGGCCUACGUGUUGAAGGUUUAGCCACCCGUCUGUGGAAAUACUGGUGGAGGGCCAACCUUAAGAGGUGGGUGGGCUCUUGGUAAAGGAACUGAGUUGUUGGGAAGCUGUUCUCGGCGGGGACAUGAAGGCCCUGGAUUCUUAACACUCUCUCGUUGCUUUCUGUCAGCAAAAGGGCAAACAGCUUUUGUUCCCUCAUGUGGUCCCACAUGAGCUUCUGCUUUGCCACAGGCCCUGAAACAGUGGAGUCAGGAGGUCAUGGAGUGAAAUCUCUGAAACCACUAAUUCUUUCUCCUAAGUUGCUUAUCUCAGAUGUCUCAGCUAAGCAGAGAAAGCCAGCCAACACGAACUCCGUGAAAGCACUCUACACACACUGGCUCAUUAAAUGUGACCAACAGGCGUUUACUGUGGUAUGACUUCAAACAUCGCUUCAUCUCCUCAGCUCUGCAUCUGACCUUCUCCCCCAACUCAUCUUCAUGUCCGUGUAUUAUCAAAACCUGGGGUGUUUGGUCAUCAAUCAUCUUAGGUGAUGAUUAUGAAUAAUGUAUAGUCAUUGAUGAUAUCAGAAAAUGGAUGCCAGUGGUGGGGGUGCCUGUGUAAAUGCACGGUUCAGUAUUUAUUCCAUCUUGCUCACUAGCUUUAGGCUCUUUUUUUUUUUUUUUUUUUUAAUUUCGAAAGAAUGCAUUAGAUCCAAACAGCUAGAUCCCUUAACAGUGUAACUAGAGUCUCCAGCUUGGAAGCCAAAGAGACCAUAUGCUUUUUAGCCCGCUUUCCUGAAGAACUGUCAGACACUUAUCAAGUUUUCGGCUCGUGUUUAGCACCAGGACAACAUAAAUGAUAAGAGCAGAUAGGAGGCGUCAGUCUCAGACAUGCAUUGUUCUCAGUGUGAAGAACUGAGCUGAAAGAAAAAACAUGAAGAGGGCUUGGAAGAUGGUUCAGUGAUUAAGAGUGUGCGCCGCUCUUGGAGAAGACCCGAGAUUGGUUCCCAUGGCUCACAACUGUCUGUAAUUCCAGUUCCAGGGGAUCUGACGGCCUCUGGGGACAUUUGCAUGCACAAGCACAUACCCACACAUAGACAUACAUGCACACACGUAAUUAAACAUAAAAAUAAGUCUUAAAAAAGAAAAAAAAUGAGAGUGGCAAAGUAAGUCCGUGAAAUAGCAUUGAAGACGGAGAAAUGUAUCAGUACACGUAUGACACUGGAUGUUACACAAAAGGUGCUAUUAAAAAGUCAGCGGCGAGUUGGUGACAUGGCUCAGUCAAUAGAGCGCUUGCCUUGUGCACAUAGGGACUGAACUCAAAUUCCAGAACCCAGGUAACAAAGGCUAGGCAUGGUAGUGUGCGUUUCUAAUCCCUGUGCUGGGGAGGCAGAGGUAAGCUGAUCCCUGAGCCUCGGUGGCCAGCCAGCCUAGCUUACUUGGAAAGUUCCAGGUCAGUGAGAGACCCUGUCUCAGAAACACAAGGUGCCUGAGAAACGACAUCCAAAGUUGUUCUUUGGUGUUCAAACACACAUGAACGCAUGUGUAUAUGCACUCCCCAAGUGUACACUUGCACACACACAUGCAUAUAUACACACAUACAUACAAGCACCAGAGUACAAAAGGCAAAUUAUUGAAUGUAUAGUGUUGGGACAAUUUUCAACUGGAAAACUUUUCCUUAUAUAAUACACAAAAAUAAACACAAGAAGCAGAAUUCAAAACAAUGAGAACAAAAGGGAGAUUUUUUUUUUCUUCAACACCAUUUAGAUUUUUCUUCUUCCUCAGGGAUGAGAAAGCUUUCUUUGAAGUAGCAAAAAGUAUAUGCUAUAGAAAAGACUUGGAUAUUUGAUUAUACUGAAUAAAUAGCCUCCCUAUAACUGCAUAAAGGAAAAGAAAAUGCAUAUUAGAAAAUAGAAGCUACUUAAAAAUGAGAAAAGAGCAGAAAAAGGCAAUUCAAACAAGAAAUUCUAAAUGGCAAAUGAAUGUAUUUUUUUGGUUUGUUUUUUGUUUUUCGAGACAGGGUUUCCCUGUGUAGCUUUGCGCCUUUCCUGGAUCUCGCUCUGUAGCCCAGGCUGGCCUCGAAUUCACAAAGAUCUGCCUGCCUCUGCCUCCCAAGUGCUGGGAUUAAAGGCGUGCACCACCACCGCCCGGCUAAUGUAUUUUUAAACCAUCUACUUGGAGUUUAACCAAUCAUCUUGGGCCACAGAGUGAACUUAAAGAUACAAGCCACGUGCUGAAUAUGGUCAAGAAGACAGACACAAUUUUUACGGCUUCUAGAUGACUGGAGUUGCCGUGGCAACCUUAAAACAUCUUUUGUAUAGGGGAAAACUAGUGAAGGUGAAGGAUGCUGAUGAUGCUGGUCCCUCUCCUCUCUUUCGCCUACCCACUUCCUGCUGUCUUGAUCAUGUGAAUUCCAGAGAAGAACCUCCAAGCUUUGCUGUAUACCAGCACAUGCACAGCUCUGGGCUGUCUCUAGGUCCCAUGGUGCUUCCCAUGUGCUGUUGGUGAGCAGCGGGAAGCCCUCUCCUAGAGUCCAAUAAGGCCAGCACUGUACUUUCUGCCAGACAGCAAGAAGAGACAACAUGGCUCUUGCUGUAACCGGAGAGAGAAGACAUUGAUGACAGAUCUGUUUUCUUUGCCAGAUCUUCCAAUUAUUAUACGACCCACAGCUUUCUGUGGUCUGACGCUGGAAAGUGUAAUGUGCACUCUAUAGGGAAAGCAUUAUACCAGUUAUAAAUGAGUCCUGAUCAAUACUAAGCGGUAAGCACAAGCUCCCUCAAACUCUGGCCAUAUGGAGAGGUAGAUUAUCAUUUUUUAAUGUAGCAAGGAGGAGAUUGAGAAACAUAAGAUGUUCCCCAGCUUGUAGUAAAGAGGAUAUAAAGGGACUCAUCAGCCCUUUAGAGAUGCAUGUUGUAUGUAAGGUCUCAAAUGAGAAGUUAUCUGGAACUUAAUGUGAUAUCUCCAGCAGUCUCACCGGAAGUACAGAUACGUUGUUAAAGAAGUAGGUUAAGAAGGAAGUAACAGGCCUGGAGAGAUGGCUCAGUGGUUAAGACCACUUGCUGCUCUUCCAGAGGAUCUAGUUCAGUUUCUAGCACCCACAUGGCAGCUCACAACCAUCCUUGAGUUCCAGGGAAACUGAUACCCUCUUCUGACCUUUUUGGAUACCGGGCAUGCUUGCAGAACACAUAUAUACAUGGAGGCAAAACACUCAUACACACAAAAGAAAAAUAAAUAAUCUUUUUUUUUUAAAAAAAAGGAUGAAAAUAUUAUUCCCUUGGAAAAAAUUUAGUGAUUUGAAUAUUAUACAAUAGCUGUAAUUACUGUUGUAUUUAAUGAUACACACACACACACACACACACACACACACACAUGCACACACAGAGAGCUAUGCAUAAAUGCACCAAAUCAACACUUUUUAUUGUAAAUCCUUUGAUAAAUAUUAUAUUUUAAUGGAUGUCAAUCCAGAGGCUGCCUGCUUAUGUAGGAAUAAGCUUUCAUUUGAAAAUUCUCUUCAUGAUGGUUUAGAACCCUUUGAUCUCACAUUGCUCACUGUCCUUUGUACUCUGGCAUUUUAGCAGUAGAUUUGAAACAAACAAUUCCAAAGGACAAAACAGAAAGAGUUGGAACUGCCUCAUUUUUUAUUGCCCUAUAUGAACAGUUCAUUUGAGUUUAAAAACUGAAAACAACUUUCAAAUUGUUAAUAACAUUCUUGCUGAGUACAUGCUGUUUCUGUUAAGUGUGGUGCAGAGUAUGGGUUAAUUAUGUGGUAUAUUUAUGGGGCAUGACGUGUUUGUUAAGUGCAAGUUAAUCCACACAGGAAGUAUUUUACUGAAUUUGAAUAGUAUCUUUAAAACUGAAUAUGCUCUUGCAUUUCAAUUAUAGUUGUUUAAAAACUAAAGAGUAAAUCUAGUAAAUAUAAUAUUACCAUGGUUGCAUAAAUUAAUAGUAGUCUGAUUUAGAAUUUUAUAGGCAUUUUGGGUUUUAUUAGAAAUUGCUAGGAGUUUAUGGACAAUUCUUUGCAUGAAAGAUUACAUCGCAAUGAAGAAGAUCAAAACUCAAACUAAGGUGGUUAUGACAAUCUAGAAGAAACAGUUGUCCACUUUUACAUUAAACUUCGUUAAGUCACAAAUGUCUUCUUUUUCCCUUUGGCAAGAUUA